GCCCGCUUGGCUAAGCGGUAUAGCGUGUCACUAGUAUUCUAACAUGACAUGACAAGGUGAUCAGUUCGACUCUGAUAGUGGGCA
RNAcentral lists this transfer RNA (84 nucleotides) under Trichoderma simmonsii. Its description in RNAcentral is "tRNA-Thr". It matches the Rfam family "tRNA". Rfam says of the family: Transfer RNA (tRNA) molecules are approximately 80 nucleotides in length. Their secondary structure includes four short double-helical elements and three loops (D, anti-codon, and T loops). Further hydrogen bonds mediate the characteristic L-shaped molecular structure. tRNAs have two regions of fundamental functional importance: the anti-codon, which is responsible for specific mRNA codon recognition, and the 3' end, to which the tRNAs corresponding amino acid is attached (by aminoacyl-tRNA synthetases). tRNAs cope with the degeneracy of the genetic code in two manners: having more than one tRNA (with a specific anti-codon) for a particular amino acid; and 'wobble' base-pairing, i.e. permitting non-standard base-pairing at the 3rd anti-codon position. The record is from RNAcentral. Lineage: Eukaryota; Fungi; Ascomycota; Sordariomycetes; Hypocreales; Hypocreaceae.